AAUAACUCUAACCAGACCCCUUCAUGUUGGGAAGAACGUCCGUGCCUCUGACUUAUUCCAAAUGGGUAUAGUUUGUGAAAAGUGCCUGCGCUUAUCCAUCUCAUUGCAGGUGUUGGCUGAAAUUUACAACUAGGCAGCAUCUCCUUACCCGGUUCAGAUACACCAACUAACCCCACUACGACCUUUCUUCCUACCUCCCGUGCCCCUUCACUCAAUAAUUGCUUUCAAAGUAGUCGGAGGAGGAUGCAUAUCUAGGUUUUUAACUUUACCCUGAUUUUCCAAUUUCAAUUUUAAGAUAUCAUUGAACAGAGGACAGGUGGAUCCUCUGUAUUCAGAGGGAGAACCACUUCUUUAGGUUUUGUUUCAGGGGAAUCGAGUUUCAAGAAGCAGUGUUAAUUAUGAGGUCAGGUUCCACCUUUUCAAAUUUCUGUGCAUGAGCAAUGCUUAAACAGUGCUACCAUGUAUUGCUUUCCUAAGGAUUAUUAAUAAUACAUUUGCAACUACUCUGAGACUAGCUAUAAAAUUUCAGAGACAGAAUGAGAAUGUAAUCUGUCUACAGCAACAAAGAUGAAUCACUUUGAUAAAUUCUUUAUGAUGGUGUCUCAUGUCCUGCAACUCUUGGAUUGGUUGUGUCUACAGUUAAUCCUUCAAUAACCCUCACAAGCACCUCAUUACUCACCAGACUGACAUGUUUGGUCGUAAAAGAGGUGCUGUUAUAUAACACAGGCACUGUACAGACUCGGGUCAUGAAUAUUAAGAGACAGCCUCAAGUGAGAUGAGAUCAGUGAAGACGUCUUGUCGCCUCUACCCUAGAAAUAAACUAGAAGCAGGCUUAGUGUGUCCUUGCAGGCUUUGGACAUCAGGGGUGAUGGUACAGGUGCUGUGUCCUUCAUAGCUUUCAGGUUCAUCAUCCCUCCCACCAAUCUGUGACUCUACCACCAGAGCCAUCAGUAAGACUGACCCUGCAAUUUCCCUUGCUCAUAGUAUCCUUU
Molecule: long non-coding RNA, 992 nt
Filed under: Marmota monax (woodchuck)
Lineage: Eukaryota; Metazoa; Chordata; Mammalia; Rodentia; Sciuridae
Source: RNAcentral